RNAcentral lists this ribosomal RNA (520 nucleotides) under Callosobruchus maculatus (cowpea weevil). RNAcentral describes it as "eukaryotic LSU rRNA". The record is from RNAcentral. Lineage: Eukaryota; Metazoa; Arthropoda; Insecta; Coleoptera; Chrysomelidae.
UUUUUCUGGAGGGGGAAAAGUGAAAAGCUACUUUGAAGAGAGAGUUCAAGAGUACGUGAAAACCGCUCAGGGGGUAAACCUGAGAAAACCCGAAAGGUCGAAAAGGGAAAAUCAUUCGCGUUUCGGAUAUCGGCGAUGAGCAGUCGCGUGACGGACGGCGUUCGCGUCGUCCGCUCCUUGUUGUUUUCCGAACCGGUAACGAACGCGUGCACUUUUCCCCUGGUAGGACGUCGCGAUCCGUUGGGUGUCGGUCUACGGCUCGCGGUGGAGUCCGUGCGCGAUCGUCUCGGCGAUUCGCGCUCGAACCCGCGAUGUUCCGGCCGACUCGCUCGACGGUAUACAGAUGGCGCGAGGCCGCUACGCUAAUUAGCGUCCGACCCGCGGCAAGCGCGUUCGAUGCUAAGACGGCGAUCGAGAUCUAGCGCCCGUCGGACAGACCUCGUUCGAGACGCUGAUCUGCGACGCUAUAGCUUGGGAUACUUUCAGGACCCGUCUGGACACGGCCCCCAGGGGGUUAUAA